This 1672-nucleotide long non-coding RNA is filed under the name Helianthus annuus (common sunflower). RNAcentral's name for it is "hypothetical non coding rna". The record is from RNAcentral. Lineage: Eukaryota; Viridiplantae; Streptophyta; Magnoliopsida; Asterales; Asteraceae.
GGGCUUGGACAAUGGAAAUUGGGUAAUCUGUAAAUGGAAUGAUAGUUUGUAAAUUGUAAUGGGUUUCUUAACUCUAAUUCAUACAAAUUAACUAGUGUUUUAUAUUAUUCUUUUUAUUAUAAUAUAAUUUUUCUUAAGGUCGGUUUCAGAAGUUUUAGGGGUGGUUGAAAAAUUUUAGGGUGUGUUGUUGAAAAAUUUAGGGGGUGCGGUCGGGAAUUUUGCUUAUAUAUAACAUUAAUUUUUUUUUCUUUUCCAAGGUGGGUGCGUGCCACCCCGGACACCACAGUGGUUCCGCCCCCCGGAUACCACAACGGUUCCGCCCCUGGUACUAAGACUUGAUUCUACGUUAGCCAGUUGCAUUUUUCAAGCCUUUAUUAUCACUUGAUCUCUCAACGCGAUAAAUUGAUUUUGUGUCCAUAGCAUACAAUUAGUUUAUAUCCACUUGCAAUAUAUUCACUUUGCUUCAUCAGAAAUUGAUUUAAAGUUAUCUUGUUUUAAAGAUAAUUAUUGGUUUUGGUUUUAGUUUUAAGUUCUUUUCAAAUAAAUUCAGAUUUGAAAUUAGAUAGGUUUCGUGAUUCGUUAAGAGAUAGAACCAACAAUUUAUUCACUAUUCACACACACACACACACAUAUACAGACAUCAUUUUUGUUGUAUUCAUAAAAAGAAAUACUUGGAAGAUAUGAACAUAAUCCAAAGAUUAAGAUGCAGUUAUUUGUUUUCUAAGUAGUAACCCGAAUCAACAGAGCCGUCCUCGAAAACUCUCGAAAAAAUUUAGGCCUCGGGCGACGAAAAGAAUUGGGCCCAAAAUUAUGGUUAGGCCUCGGGCGACGAAAAGAAUUGGGCCCAAAAUUAUGGUUAAGGGUAAAUAAAUUACAAAAAUAAAAACUUAGUGAUAGAGCAAAAACUUGAACUUGAGACCUUUACAUUAUUUUGAGAUGGUUUUUGCCACUACACCACCAAUAUUUUUUUGCAUAGUAAAAGGAUGAAUAUACUAAAUAUAUAAUUUAAUAAAUAUAUACAAGUUUACAAAGAAUUUUCAGGCCCUUUGAAAUUUUGGGCCUCGGGCGUCGGCACGGGUUUGCCGGGCCCAGAGCCGGCCCUGCGAAUCAAAUGGCUUAUAAUUAUAAAUGUUAUGUUAUCUUUGAAGAAGUCAAUGGACACCAUAAUUCUUUCUUAGUUGUGAUCAUUGAUGAUCACAAGGUGCGGCUUUGAGGUAGAUCAUCUUACCGAUUGAUCGUAAAAAUAAACUCUGUCGUUCAUUUCUGUAUAGAAUUAACAUUUUUGCAAAAUGCAAAACUUGCUCAAGUGUUUGGAUAUAUGAUCAUGGGUUUGAUUACUUGUAAGGUUGUGUAUUAUGUUUGCUUUAUGAUGCAAGUUUUUGGGAGAGCUUGAAACACUUGGCUGAAGGCAUACAGGAUGACUGGAUCGUUUUCAAGGUGCAAAAUUAAAAGAAGAUGAAGGAAGUUAAUUAGUUGCUAAUGGAUGUGACCCUGAAAUUAAGGCAUGAGAAUGAUGAGAGGGAUGUUGGUGUAAUAUGUAUUAUGUUCUGUUUUUGGAAAACAAUGGGGGCUUGUUUUUUUGGACAGAGAAAUCUUGUAAAGAGAUUUGACCCACUUUUUGAUUAGAUUAGACAUGCAUUGAAUCAUGUGGAAUCAUAUGCUAUGUUUAGUA